CGGAGGGUGCAAGCGUUAUCCGGAUUUACUGGGUUUAAAGGGUGUGUAGGCGGACUAUUAAGUCAGCGGUGAAAUCUCCGGGCUCAACCCGGAAACUGCCAUUGACACUAUUAGUCUUGAAUAUUGUUGAGGUGGGCGGAACGGGUCAUGUAGCGGUGAAAUGCAUAGAUAUGACCCGGAACACCGAUUGCGAAGGCAGCCCACUAAGCAAUUAUUGACGCUGAGGCACGAAAGCGUGGGGAUCAAACAGGAUUAGAUACCCUGGUAGUCCACGCCCUAAACGAUGAUUACUCGACGUUGGCGAUACACUGAUCAGCGUCCAAGCGAAAGCAUUAAGUAAUCCACCUGGGAAGUACGUUCGCAAGAAUG
This 369-nucleotide ribosomal RNA is filed under the name uncultured organism. RNAcentral's name for it is "bacterial SSU rRNA". It matches the Rfam family "Bacterial small subunit ribosomal RNA", at positions 526 to 896 of the family's 1533-position model. The record is from RNAcentral.